This is a long non-coding RNA of Scomber scombrus (Atlantic mackerel), 170 nucleotides long. RefSeq lists it as uncharacterized. Lineage: Eukaryota; Metazoa; Chordata; Actinopteri; Scombriformes; Scombridae. The record is from RefSeq and is a predicted model, not a curated record. The transcript is spliced from 4 exons.
GAGCUUUGAAUAACAGAGAGAGGGGGAGAAAUAAAAGGAAUAAGCACCACGAGCCCUCAGUCUUCCAGCAGCAAAGGGAAGAAACAGGAAUAACCAUGCCUGAGCCAGUCCCUGCAGAUAAACCAGAGGGGGAGGCCCCAGAGGAGCCAUCUGAGGAGGCCGCACCCCAU